This 376-nucleotide ribosomal RNA is filed under the name uncultured organism. RNAcentral's name for it is "partial 16S ribosomal RNA". It matches the Rfam family "Bacterial small subunit ribosomal RNA", at positions 527 to 897 of the family's 1533-position model. The record is from RNAcentral.
GGAGGGUGCAAGCGUUGUUCGGAAUUAUUGGGCGUAAAGAGCGUGUAGGCGGUCCGGUAAGUCAGAUGUGAAAGCCCUGGGCUCAACCCAGGAAGUGCAUUUGAAACUACCAGACUUGAGUACGGGAGAGGAGGGGGGAAUUCCCGGUGUAGAGGUGAAAUUCGUAGAUAUCGGGAGGAAUACCAGUGGCGAAGGCGCCCUCUGGACCGAUACUGACGCUGAGACGCGAAAGCGUGGGGAGCAAACAGGAUUAGAUACCCUGGUAGUCCACGCCGUAAACGAUGAGCACUAGGUGUAGCGGGUAUUGACCCCCCCUGCUGUGCCCGUAGCUAACGCAUUAAGUGCUCCGCCUGGGGGACUACGGUCGCAAGACUAA